GACGAACGCUGGCGGCGUGCUUAACACAUGCAAGUCGGACGAAGAGCGACGGAAGCUUGCUUCUAUCAAUCUUAGUGGCGAACGGGUGAGUAACGCGUAAUCAACCUGCCCUUCAGAGGGGGACAACAGUUGGAAACGACUGCUAAUACCGCAUACGAUCUAAUCUCGGCAUCGAGGAUGGAUGAAAGGUGGCCUCUACAUGUAAGCUAUCACUGAAGGAGGGGAUUGCGUCUGAUUAGCUAGUUGGAGGGGUAACGGCCCACCAAGGCGAUGAUCAGUAGCCGGUCUGAGAGGAUGAACGGCCACAUUGGGACUGAGACACGGCCCAGACUCCUACGGGAGGCAGCAGUGGGGAAUCUUCCGCAAUGGACGAAAGUCUGACGGAGCAACGCCGCGUGAGUGAUGACGGCCUUCGGGUUGUAAAGCUCUGUUAAUCGGGACGAAAGGCCUUCUUGCGAAUAGUGAGAAGGGAU
This 473-nucleotide ribosomal RNA is filed under the name Veillonella parvula. RNAcentral's name for it is "bacterial SSU rRNA". It matches the Rfam family "Bacterial small subunit ribosomal RNA", at positions 28 to 478 of the family's 1533-position model. Lineage: Bacteria; Bacillati; Bacillota; Negativicutes; Veillonellales; Veillonellaceae. The record is from RNAcentral.